AUUGAACGCUGGCUGCAGGCCUAACACAUGCAAGUCGAGCGAGCGGCGGACGGGUGAGUAAUUUCUGGGAAACUGCCUGAUGGCGGGGGAUAACUCCUGGAAACGGUAGCUAAUACCGCAUACCAUCAGAUUUUCCCAGAUGGGAUUAGCUGGUAGGUGGGGUAAUUGCUCACCUAUGCGACGAUUCCUAGCUGGUCUGAGAGGCGGACCAGCCACGAUGGAACUGAGACACGGUCCAGACUCCUACGGGAGGAAGCAGUGGGGAAUAUUGCACAAUGGGCGCAAGCCUGAUGCAGCCAUGCCGCGUGUAUGAAGAAGGCCUUCGGGUUGUAAAGUACUUUCAGCGGUGAGUCGUUACCCGCAGAAGAAGCACCGGCUAACUCCGUGCCAGCAGCCGCGGUAAUAC
This 406-nucleotide ribosomal RNA is filed under the name uncultured bacterium. Its description in RNAcentral is "partial 16S ribosomal RNA". It matches the Rfam family "Bacterial small subunit ribosomal RNA", at positions 30 to 526 of the family's 1533-position model. The record is from RNAcentral.